Molecule: ribosomal RNA, 465 nt
Filed under: Vreelandella stevensii
Lineage: Bacteria; Pseudomonadati; Pseudomonadota; Gammaproteobacteria; Oceanospirillales; Halomonadaceae
Description: partial 16S ribosomal RNA
Rfam family: Bacterial small subunit ribosomal RNA
Source: RNAcentral
CCUACGGGGGGCUGCAGUGGGGAAUAUUGGACAAUGGGGGCAACCCUGAUCCAGCCAUGCCGCGUGUGUGAAGAAGGCCCUCGGGUUGUAAAGCACUUUCAGUGAGGAAGAACGCCUGGUGGUUAAUACCCAUCAGGAAAGACAUCACUCACAGAAGAAGCACCGGCUAACUCCGUGCCAGCAGCCGCGGUAAUACGGAGGGUGCGAGCGUUAAUCGGAAUUACUGGGCGUAAAGCGCGCGUAGGUGGCUUGAUAAGCCGGUUGUGAAAGCCCCGGGCUCAACCUGGGAACGGCAUCCGGAACUGUCAAGCUAGAGUGCAGGAGAGGAAGGUAGAAUUCCCGGUGUAGCGGUGAAAUGCGUAGAGAUCGGGAGGAAUACCAGUGGCGAAGGCGGCCUUCUGGACUGACACUGACACUGAGGUGCGAAAGCGUGGGUAGCAAACAGUAUUAGAUACCCCUGUAGUC